Molecule: non-coding RNA, 9833 nt
Organism: Phalacrocorax carbo (great cormorant)
Lineage: Eukaryota; Metazoa; Chordata; Aves; Suliformes; Phalacrocoracidae
Source: RefSeq, a predicted model, not a curated record
CCGGCGCAAAACCAGCCCUAUAUAAAACCAGCGUGACUUUCCUCCGCGCCGCGUCGCCGGGCAGCUCCAGCAGGAGGGUCCCAGUCUUCUUCAGGACACUUGCUUCUGGGAAAUUACCCCUUUCCUGGGGGAUUUUUAGGUCCUGCUCUGACCUCUCCAGCUACCUGGCCCUCGAGGAUUUCUGUCAGCUUCCUUCCCAGAGAUGUGGCACUAAAACAAGGUUUCUGCUCACCCUGAGGAGCAGCAGGCUCUGCUGUCGCCACGCUGAUGAGCACACUGUUCCGAGUAAAUCCUUCCUUGGCCUUUAAGAUUAGCAACCUUCUGGUUUCUAAACCAAAAACCUACUCCAAAGCUAUCAUCUCCUAGCUGGAGUGCGGAAUAGGUGGUUAUGAAAGAAUGAACUACCUGAUCCCAACCCCAUUACUCCUGGAAAGAUCCAGGACCAUGAUUUAAAAAGAAACUUAAAAGAACAGUCUUCAGCAAAAAGAAGAUAAACUGUAAAAGCCAGCAGAAGGAUAACACUCAAGAAACAGGUGAAAUGUCUGACUGGCUAUCAUUGGUUAAGAACAGUCCUCCACCAAAGGGGAAGCCCUGUACUGUAAAUUUAAGAAUGAAAAUAGGUUUUCUUUUGAGGUCAGGGUUGCGUCUCUUUUCGCUUAUUUUCUUGUAUCGGUAGGAAUGCAGGGGGCCAGUUUCUGCAACAGCAUUCGUUAUUGUCAGGUUUUGAGAUCACAUACUCAUCUCAAACAUCUGAGGGAGUCUGCUCCCCUUUCCGUGUUCCUUCCCUUUUCCCAUCCUUGAGAUUUGUUUCCCAGGUCACCACCUGCGCAUUCAAACUGAUCUGAAUUUCAUUGCGCCUGUCCUGCAGAAUUUAAAGGCUAUUGUGAUAGAGGGAACCUAUAUAUGCAUCUAUAUGCAUUAUGCCCGGGAGCGUGAAGAUCAAAAGUUUCUCAAAGUCAGCUUCAGGGCUUACCAUCUUUAUCCUGCAUUAACGGGUAAAUGAUAAGAGUCUUACCAAAGACAACUUACAAGUGAGCUCUUUGAUUUAACAGAUAUAUUUUUAUAGGAAAAAUCAAAGGGACUUAACUGAAAUAAUGGACGUACUUGCCAUGUUCCUACAGUCAUCUUUGGUUUUCCACGCAAGGGAAAGGAGAAGUGAAAUGGAAAAGCAGUGCAGCAAUAGCAUUUAUUUCUAAUUAUGAGUAUUUUGUGGUUCUAUAUAACACAUGCAUUAUUUUUGUGGUGCUACUAAAUAUGUGCUGCACAACUGCCGAAGCUGCUCAGGCAUUAGAUGGUUUAGAGAUUUUUAAGACUAUUAGUGUAAUAAUCUAUAAAUCCGGGAACCUGACUGACGCUUCAUUCAGAGUACUGUUAACCACCAUGGUAGCUUUGCAGAUGUGUGAACAGGGGAUACGAAGCAGCACUCUGAUGUUAAUUUAAACUUGCAGAUAGCUGUAAUUAGCUAAUAAGGUAAGCUAUUGCUGUAUUCUGUCCUUUCUGGACCUCGAGGUUCAAAUCUGAAACUCAAACAGUGGGAUUUUUUUCUAUUUUGAGGGAGGCUAAAGGAGCAUGUUCCUCUUCAUCUGGAAAGUACUGCUGACAGCCCUUCUUCAGGUGUUUACUAAGGGUUAAAUUAAUUUCUCAUCUAGAUCGGCUCUCCUUAGUCUCAGUUUACGUGUAUAUCUGCACUAAAUGGGAAUUAUAUAUACCUGAGAUCACGUACACUCCUAAGGCAGGAAGUACCAGAUUCAAUAAAAUGAAAGCUAAAGAAUUUACUUACAGCUUCUACAUACUAAUUCCAUGUUCUCUAUUACAACAGCAAAAUUUACUUUGAUGUCAGUGCAAGAUGUGGUUUGUCCUGUUGUCUGAUCGUGAUCUAUGACAGAAACAUCACGACUAAACCCCUGACCAACAUAAACCCCACCGGUACUGAUGAGGGUCUAUACUUAUUUUAUUACUUUCCUCAUUUUCAUUUUAAUGAAAACAUGUUACAAAUAGAGCUAAUGCCCUUAAAAUCUGGAUAGCCAGUAAAAAAAUACUCCUCCUAAUUCACAGUGCAUGAAUAUCCCAGUGCUGGCUUUUUGCAGCUAGGGAAAAAAUGGUAAUGGGACAGGACUGUAAUAUUGAGAAAAUAAAAGGUUUUUAUUUUUCUCUGGCAAACGGAAUAUAAAUUAUCCUCCUGAAGAAUAUUUUUCAUUAAACUGUAAGAAGUUCAAGCUGACAUAUUUUACAUACUUAGGCAUAAUAUGUGUCUUCACGCUGUGCAUGUAUGUUUUCCAUUUAUGAAGAGGAAACUGAAAAAUGCUUCUUUCCAUAAAAUGUGAAAGCUUUAUCGCAUCAUAAUGUCAACUCUUUGGAUUCUCACCUUGUCUUUUAACACAUCCCAUUGAAUUGGGGGCACCUCUCUUGGAGCAAAGAAACAUUCCUUUCCGUAACAUUAACUCCAAGAAAUCCAAAUGCCGUAUUUGGCCAUGAAUGAUCUUAGAAAUUCUUGUCAGAGAGAUCAGGAGUAUCUUUUGAAGAGGAUGAAUGGAAACAGAACUGUUACCCUGCAUGAAAUAUAUUUGCAAUAAAUAAGAGGUACUCAGUAAAUGUACAGAGGCAAUCAAGUAUAUUUCAUGCGUAUUGCGUGUGACUACACAAGAGGAAUGUUUGUUCUUUCUCAGUUAAAUAUCACAGGUUUUGUAACAAUUUUUGUCAUUGUCAGGCCUUGUAGGUAAAUAAAACAUUUUCAGUCAAAACAUAUAAGUAGUUAUUCUGCACACACAAUGCAAAUUCCUCUUGGAAAUAUUCCUCCCAGGUGGUGAUGUGGAGGACUUAUAAAACCAUAUCAUAAAUAACUGCUUUGCUUUUCUGUUUCUAUUAAAGAUAUUCUGUUGGAAAUGUUAUUGCUUCCAUUCCAGAUACUCAUCAUCUAUUUUCACUAUACCAUUUUCAUUUGGAGUUAAUGACCUCUGUGCUCUACAUCAUUUCUGCAAUGAAUGCCUACCUGUGUUCCAGGUUUGGGUAUACACAGAGUAAGAGUUUGUUUAUACCUAAUGGAAGGAUGCUUUUAAAAAAAUACCUUUUUUUUUUUUUUUUACAAUGUAUUGCUCUUAAUCAGAAUGGAAAUAAGUUUAUGAGUUUGUGUUAGAAAAAUUACUUCAGCCUUGGCUUUACACAUACCUGAUCCAUGUGUGAUCAUCUUGGGGAUCUCUUGCAGAUGAAUGUGGAUAAUUUUCAGGGAUAAUUAAGCCAAAACUGAAUUUCCUUUGACAUUCCUAUUGGCUUCAGUCAGCCAAAGGGUGGCAUUUACAAACCUGGGCUGAAGUUUGACAAAGGCUGGAGGGAAGUUCUGUGCUCUUCCAGGCUUUGCCGUAUGUUUCUGAAGCGUGCUCGGUUAUCUUGAAUCUUCCUUUUACUUGCAGAGAAGCAUUUUGAUUAUAUAUGGGUGUGUCUUCAGUUUCUCUUCUAGUAGGAUGACGUUUGUGAUAGCCAGCGUGUGGGACGCAGGACUUCAGCUGCCAGCAGAACUAUUCAAAGGCAACAUUUGAAUUUAUAGAGCUACUGAGGCUUACAGUGCAUUCACUGCACUAGUUUAGUACCUCUUGGAUGGGUUAAAGAGAGCGCCUCUCCUUCCGUUCUGCUGACUCUUCAUCGGCAUUUAUUUCCUUCUUGCAUAUGAAUUUUUAUAUUUACAUAUUAUGGGUCUAUUAGGAAUAUAAAGGCCAAUUAAUUAUUUUUCAGUUCAGAAAAGAGAUAAAGAUACUCCAUUCAGAAAGGAGAUUAAGAUACUCAUUUAUUAACUACUGGUUUUUUAUUAAACUGUUCAUGUUUUAGCCUAAAGUAUGGGGCUCGGUUGUAUGUAAUGGAAGUGAUUGUUUCAUAAAUUAUGUUCCUUUGGAAAUACUUCAGACCGUUCUUACCCUGUUACGCUGAAAGUGGGGUAACGAGCAAGACAUCUUCAGCGGGUUUGAUGUUUAAAUGCGAAUGUGUGAACAUUUCCGAGUUACUCUUUAUAAAUACACAAGGAUUUCCAAAGUGAUGUGUUUUAGGAAGGAUAUGAUUAUUAUAGAUACAGCUUAGUUUAUACCCUGUAUUUUAUCUUGUUCUCUAGAACAAAGAAAAUGUGCAUGAGUUUUACAGUGCUACAAUAAAUGUAAGUGGCUUCGCUUCUACAGAAGGGGAAAAUCUGUUUUCUGAUCUGUUUUCUGUGUAAGAUUUUACAUUCUUCAGAGAAAAAUCUCAAUGAGAUUUUAUGAUGGGUCAGUCUCUGUCCCUGUGUGCUCUGCUCAAACACCAUCUACAUGAAUGGUACAUCUGGUCCUGUCAAUGCGUCAGAGGCAUCACCUUAAGUAGCAUGUUUAUUUGAUUGACAGUGUGUGUCUUAGACAUUGGCAAGUAACUGGUUAACUCUGGACGGAAAGGUUGCCUUGCUAGUGGGAACUUUCUCUGCAGGGUCAUGAAGUGAAGCAGUCAGUGUAUUUACCCGUCUGUCACCCUUCUGGGGGAGGAUGCUCAUUCCUGCGGACCGAGACGGCUGAAGUACCCAGGAAAUAAUGUGAACAAUUUCAGGUUUAUCCAGCUUCACCGCAGCCCAGAAUUUCACCAAAUCUAGUGGAAAAUCCAGAUUAUGACCAUUAUCAAAUCCACCACUGCUACAACAGUCUCAGCAUCCAGGCAGACACCAUGACACGGCUUAACGUCUCAGGAGUGAUCGUCUAAAGAAGGGGGUGCGUACCUCUGAAUCACCUCAAAGGCAUAAAAAGAAUGCUAUGACACUUCUAAAAGCUGAGAGAGAUGUAUGAAGCUGAGUUCCCACCAAAGGCCACGGGUUCAUUUGCAACACCUCUUUUGAUUCGGGUUGUUGGUUUUUUUAAACUGAAUUUUCCUUACGCUCUUCUCCCCACCAUUACUUUGUUUUAAAUUUAAUUCCCUUUAAUGUUAAUCUCCCUGCUCUCUAAGAACCUCUUCAUCGGUCAGAGAGGAGGAAGUGAAACCUGUUGAUUAGAUGAAUAAAGCAGAAUUAGUCCUUCCAGCAGACAGAGCUUCCAGCCUCCGCAGAGCCACCCGCCGAAGUGCCGGGUGUCCAGAGCCAGUCCCUCCUCGCGCGGCGUGGAGCACCUACCCUGCCCGCUGAAGAGGCUACGCGGGCGCGUUGACGCUCGGGAGGUCGGCGUGAAGCAACGGGGUGAAUUGGGGCACGAGGUGCUUGUCGAAGGUUGCCAAACCUGGUAAAGCAUUUAGAGGGAAAAGGUCGUUGAGCAAGGCUCUGGUCGUCCCAGUAAGCGCCUGCUGGUGAUUCCGCCUGGAAGGCAGCAGCCUGCUCCAAAAGGCUUCUUGGACUGCACUCAUACGCCAGGUACAUCUGCAGGUACCUCUGCCCUGUUUUCAAGGGCAUGCCACAGAUUACGUCACCAGAUACCUUUGCUUGCAUAAGGGAGUAUGGUUUCCAUAGCCACACUGCCAUCCCCUUCGUCUCACUGCUUGCAAAUACCACCUCUGCCUUAAAAUGCAAAGGAUUAACUUCCCAAUUUAGAAAGGUCUGUGCUUAUGCAUGUAUCAAAACUGUCACAUUUUGAUUGUCCUUUUAAUGCUUUAAAAGCUGAACUUUUAAUUCAACUUCAAAGCAAGAAAUAUUUUUUUCUUGAACUCCUUGUAUUUACAGAGCUAUCUGUCUUUAGAUUAGACAAGCAGAUACAAGAAUUGUCUUGUAAAAUUGUAGUUUCCCUUUAAUAAGAUACUCUGACAGGCAAUUAUUCAUGCAGUCUGCUCUGUGCUAAAUGUUUUUUCAUGCUGUGCUCCCCUGUCUCUUGAUUGCAGGAAUGUGCUCCUGUGAAUUAUAAUUAUGAGUAAAUAUGAACUGGUACGUAUGAAAUGAUUUACUAGACCUUCCAUUGCUACAUGAUAUUAAUUCUGUUCUUCUCCAUUACAAAGAUACGGGAGUUUUAACGAAUAACCUAUAUUUUUUUCAUUCUUUGGCCUAUUAAGAUUGCUGUUACUAUUUACUGUAAGUUACUUUGACAGAAGCUGGAGAUACUAUGCAUAAAUUUCAUCAGAGACAAAUCGUUUGCUAAUGUUUAAAUUUCAGGACAAAUUUUUAAAAAUGUGUUAUAUAGUCCUGGAAAAAUGAGUAUUUUAUACACAUAUAAAAGGUGAGUCCAGUUCACCUUUAUAAUUAUUUCACUUUCAGCCGAUACUUUCAAACAAAAGGCACCAUGGCACUGAAUGUUGUCUUCAGGUUUGGCAGCUUUCAAAGAGUAAUUCAGUUUAUUGGUAUAAUUGUUUUUUAUUUUUAUUAGAUAAGAAUUUUUUCUAGAACUUCUUUACUUGUAAAGUGUUGGAGCCUGGUUAAAUCUAGUCACCCAGGAUACCUCAUGGCCAGUGGAGAAAGAAGUUAGCUGCAGCAAGCACUCACCCCACUUAUCUCAGGUGUAUCAGGAUGGGAUAAAUCAUCUCCUAAUGGUGCCCAUCCUUCUCCUUAACUAGACAGCCUAUAUAGAUUAUACAGACUAUAGACCAGGCGACUCCUUAGGUACUAACACUUAAACUGUACUUACCAGUAAUUGAAAAUUUUAUGGGAUGAAUAUAUAUGUAUAAAGUUAAAAGAUUUUCUGCUGGGGAGAGAUUUAUGCAACCAGCAUGUCAUAUUUAACUUCAUAAAACAGACAUUCACUCAUGAUAAAAAAAGUCUGAUCUUACUGUAUAUAGAUCCGUGACUAUUUGGGCCAUACCGGGAGAAAAACUAGAACUAUAUAAAAACUAUGUAACAAUGAUGCUCUUUGGCUUCAAAAAUGAGCUGUGUGGUAGAAAUGCACCAGGAAAGCACAAAAAUAGAAAUAACAUUGGGGGUCUUUUAGGGUAUAAAGUAUUUUUACUCUUAAGACAAAUACUGUUGACCAAAAUGUCAUAUUUCCUCAGCAAAAACGUUUGAGGUUAUGUAAGGCUCUCGGUUGUAUUUCAUCUUAAAAAUAGGAUUGCUUACAUGGGUAUGUAAAGAACAAAUCAUGCCAAGCAAAAAGGUAGAAUCAUAGAAGAAUGGGAGGAAGUACAUUAAGCAUCUAGAAUUUACUAAAGCAUUUGACACAGCGUGUCUCAAAAAUUGUGUUUGACAAAUGAAUCAAAAUGGAUUACGCAGAAACACAAUUACGAGUACAGGUAAUUGGCUGAGGAAUGCACUAAGGAGUCACGGUAAACACGAGAGCGAAAUCCUGGUCCCACACAGGUCUUUGUUAGGGCUUCACUGCGCCACGCGGGAGGAGGCUUCUGGUGAUUCGUUGCAGAAACAAUUUAAUUUACUCGCUGGGUCGUGUUCCUGGCAGAGAUGAGGAUUCAAGAAGAUACACAAAUAUUUUUUCCUUAAUUCCUGCGGUCGUUGCUGCCUUCUCUAGCUGAAGGUGUGGGUGGGCAGCAGAGACCUAGACCUUGGCUCUGAUCACAGAUAUACCUAUUCUACAUCCGUUUAGCCUUACCGAUUCAGCAGAAUUAUUUCUCUGAUUUACGGUGUUGCAGACGGACUGCAAUGCCCAACGUCACCUCCUGUGCAAGGUUGUCACCUUUUGAAGCCGUUUCCCCACGGCUCGUCCGUGAAAGUACUAAUUAAACCAUGAUAUUUGCUCCUGACAGGGCAGCAGUAACUUACAGAGCACGGAGUUUGCUGCCCAAGCAUACCCCUGCUGCCUGGCUGCUGGGAAUCAUGACGGCAAAGAAAGUUUCCUUGCUGUAAGAGCUGUAAGGCUAAAUGAGAACUAAAUGUAAGUCACUAUAUGCCAGCUUAGUGAUUGCCUUCACAGUCAAAAGCAAACCUGAGUAAAAUACGAGCUUGGAUUAUAUACCAAGGAAGCAACAGGCAAGGGUGGAAAUAGUAAUUGGCCUAUUUCACAAUUUCACCUUCUGUGUUUAGUUACAGCCCUGCAAAGAGAGUGCGAAGUACUGCAACUUGGGGUUGCGGUCCUGGUUUUCCCUUUACACUGUUUUGCUCUAGUGUAAAUGAUUACGUAGGCGCAGAGGUGGUGAAUUGGGCGCUGCAGGUACGGUGCAGUUUUGAUGAGCAAGGUGGGAUAUAAAAAAAAAACCAGGUCCCCUCUCUGGAAUAUAUAAACAGAUGAAAAUGAAGCAAGAGCUAGAUCUUACUGCCCAGGGUACAGCAUCGCAGCGGUCUGUCAGCCAGCAUGGAAAGCUGUUAUUUAAGUGCUCCAUCGGUUAUAAUGGAUUAAAAAAUACUGUACCCGAUAUGGGAUGCGGUGUCGAUUCUAGACCCUACAUUCUGCUACAAGGGCUAAAUGUGCUCCUUACUGGGAAUUUACCACCACUUAUGGCAGCAACUCUGACUUGAGGGCUAGGACCGUGCUCACCAUUUCUGUCAGAGCAGUUUGGCUAGGAUAUAUCUCAGCUACCUAAAAUAGUUCAAAUGGUAAAUAUUUAAUCUAUGUUUUCAGGUAGUCUCCCUCAGUGAUCAGUGAAGGAAGGAUAAUUCACCUCCAUUUUAAAUAUGUGCAAAACAGGUUGCAGAGGUAGUAUGUCAGUCCGUCUUUUUCUACUGCAUAAAGUUCGCCUUAACGGCUGCGCCCAGCAGAGCUGCUGCACCAGCCGAUGGGAGCGUGUGCAAUUCUUAGAAUUGGGCAGUUUUGUCACCCACCUCGGCUCUGGUUGACUUACUAAUAAGGUUAUGGACAGUGGCACAUGCUAUUUUGGUUUGAUUCACCACCUGCAAACUCCAGCUCUGUCAUUCACCCCUUCUGUAGCGCAGGGAUCCACAUCUGAGGUCUUGAAGUAGACUUGAGUCCACUUCUACCGUUCAAAUGACCUUCAUUAACACAUACGAUCAAACUGGUCAAACUCUAGAAACCAGUGGCAACGUUUCAUGAAAUAAAAGAUAUUUUCCUCCUGUAGGAAGAUCUUUCCACCAGCAUUAAACUGUUAGAGAGAAGCCUUUCACCUGAGAAUGUUUUAUAUUUAAAAGAGCAUUUGGCCAGAAUAUUUCAAUCAAUUAAUAUAUUUCAAUCUAGUAGUCAGAGGUUGAUGGAAAAGCUUUAGCUCUGGGGAGCUGCUCUAAGUUUAUUUUGAUUUCCAUGAGUGUAAACCAGCUCCACCUGCCCACAGCUGAGGCCACCUGGGCUGGCAAACUGCAGAGGUGAGGCCUGAGCUGACUGACAUAGAUGAAUAUUGCCGUUCAGAGUACUUUUAAAAAAUUAACUGCCUCAGUAUUCGAUAAUCAAAUAGCAUAAGGACCGCUAAUGAUCUAGUAUUCUUCAUUUUUAUUUCUAGAUCAAGUAGGCAGCAGCACCGAGCAGUGUAUAGUCACCGUUAUGAGUAAUGACCCUGAAAAGUGGACCCUUUCCUAAUUUGCUAAAAAUAAGAUUUUAUAUCUCUGUGAAAGCGUUGUCUCUUUCCUUUGGAUGAUUAAAUAGUGCACUGAGAUGUUAUGUUACAUUAAUGUACAGCCUGGAGAAGUCUCUAUUUAAACAGAACAGAUAGACUUCCUGAAGUUCAGUCUUUAAUCCUGUUUCACGUAUGGUGGUCUCAUAGGGAGAAUAUAAAGCGUGAAUAGUAGAGUCAUAGUCAUAAAAGAAAGGAAGUAAAAGGGCUUAACAUUGGGACUGUGGAAGCAGUUUUCAAGCAGUCCUUACUGAAAUCAGUGUUUUAAUCUGGUAAAAAUAGAACAUACGUUUACAAGAUUCUAUUUGAAUGGACUGAAAAUACUGUGAAAUAAAAAGCUCCGUCGUUUAUCCAGUGUGUUACUGUUUGCUUUUAUGAGAAUUUUGUCAUUGGCAGAACAAAUACUGUAGGCAUUUCCUGAUUUUUUUUCCUUCUACUUGGGAAAAUAACAAAAUAAAGAAAUAAUUCUUUAUUGU